RNAcentral lists this ribosomal RNA (119 nucleotides) under Neisseria meningitidis alpha710. Lineage: Bacteria; Pseudomonadati; Pseudomonadota; Betaproteobacteria; Neisseriales; Neisseriaceae. The record is from RNAcentral.
AAGUUUGGCGGCCAUAGCGAGUUGGUCCCACGCCUUCCCAUCCCGAACAGGACCGUGAAACGACUCAGCGCCGAUGAUAGUGUGGUUCUUCCAUGCGAAAGUAGGUCACUGCCAAACAC